RNAcentral lists this ribosomal RNA (460 nucleotides) under uncultured bacterium. RNAcentral describes it as "partial 16S ribosomal RNA". It matches the Rfam family "Bacterial small subunit ribosomal RNA", at positions 338 to 795 of the family's 1533-position model. The record is from RNAcentral.
CCUACGGGAGGCAGCAGUGAGGAAUAUUGGUCAAUGGGCGCGAGCCUGAACCAGCCAAGUAGCGUGAAGGAUGACUGCCCUACGGGUUGUAAACUUCUUUUAUAAAGGAAUAAAGUGAGGCACGUGUGCCUUUUUGUAUGGACUUUAUGAAUAAGGAUCGGCUAACUCCGUGCCAGCAGCCGCCGUAAUACGGAGGGUCCGAGCGUUAUCCGGGUUUAGUGGGGUUAAAGGGAGCGUAGAUGGGUUGGUAAGUUCGUUGUGAAAGUUUGCGGCUCAACCGUAAAAUUGCAAUUGAUACUGGCAGUCUUGAGUACAGUUGAGGUAGGCGGAAUGCGUGGUGUAGCGGUGAAAUGCUUAGAUAUCACGAAGAACUCCGAUUGCGAAGGCAGCUUACUAAGCUGCCACUGACAUUGAUGCUCGAAAGUGUGGGUAUCAAACAGGAUUAGAUACCCUUGUAGUC